RNAcentral lists this ribosomal RNA (497 nucleotides) under uncultured bacterium. Its description in RNAcentral is "partial 16S ribosomal RNA". It matches the Rfam family "Bacterial small subunit ribosomal RNA", at positions 28 to 507 of the family's 1533-position model. The record is from RNAcentral.
GAUGAACGCUGGCGGCGUGCCUAAUACAUGCAAGUCGAGCGAACAGAUGAGGAGCUUGCUCCUCUGACGUUAGCGGCGGACGGGUGAGUAACACGUGGAUAACCUACCUAUAAGACUGGGAUAACUUCGGGAAACCGGAGCUAAUACCGGAUAAUAUAUUGAACCGCAUGGUUCAAUAGUGAAAGACGGUUUUGCUGUCACUUAUAGAUGGAUCCGCGCCGCAUUAGCUAGUUGGUAAGGUAACGGCUUACCAAGGCAACGAUGCGUAGCCGACCUGAGAGGGUGAUCGGCCACACUGGAACUGAGACACGGACCAGACUCCUACGGGAGGCAGCAGUAGGGAAUCUUCCGCAAUGGGCGAAAGCCUGACGGAGCAACGCCGCGUGAGUGAUGAAGGUCUUCGGAUCGUAAAGCUCUGUUAUUAGGGAAGAACAAAUGUGUAAGUAACUAUGCACGUCUUGACGGUACCUAAUCAGAAAGCCCCGGCUAACUACGUG